RNAcentral lists this long non-coding RNA (996 nucleotides) under Mytilus galloprovincialis (Mediterranean mussel). The record is from RNAcentral. Lineage: Eukaryota; Metazoa; Mollusca; Bivalvia; Mytilida; Mytilidae.
GUUUGCAAAAAUAUGCAUUUCCUUUGAUUUCCUUAUUGCACAAUAAUUAACGUCAUAACAAGCAUGACAAGCCUAAAUACAUAUUUCCUCUACUUAAAUCAUAAGGUGUAUCUUUUUUAUUUCCUGGUGUAAUUACAAACAUGUGAACACAUUAGCACAGGUUGGAAAGGAAUUGAUCGGUCAAUAUCAAUGCAACUGAAUGUUGAAAUGAGAUGUAGAUGUGUUUAUCCUUUGUAUCCACCUGAUGAGUUAAGCCCUUUUCUACUGAUUUAAAUAGUUUGUUCUUAUGUCGUCCUGUUACACCCUGAGGUUACACUACUGUCCCAGGUUAGAGGUACGGUUUUGAGCUAGCAAACUAGUUUAACCACGCCACAUUCUGUAUGUUCCUGUCCCAAGUCAAGAGCAUGUAAUUCAGUGGUUGUUGUUUGUUUCUGUAUAUUAUAUUAGUUUUUUGUUCCUUAUUUUGUUCUUGAAGCAGGCCAUUAGUUUUCUCAUUUGAAUUGUUUUAAUUUGUUAUUUAGGGGUCUUUUUUAUAGCUGAAUAUGAGUUACUAUUUGUUGAAGGCCUUUGAAAAGUGUUAAUUUCUGUGUCAUUUGGUCUUAGGUAGAGAGUUGUCUCAUACUUUGGCAAUCAUACAACAUCUUCUUAUUUUUAUUAUAGGUUUAUUGUUGUUAUCUUAAAAUAUAUAAAAAAUAUCAAAUCUGUUUAAAGUUCUUGUCAUCUAAUCAAACUCAAUAAAGAAAAAAACACCCAACAAUCAAUUAGGAUUGUCUAUUUUCUUUCUUUUUUGGCAAGUUCUGGUCUUUUUAUGACUUAUGGCUUAAGAUUGCAUAAUUUCCCAGACAUUAUUUAAAACAAGACAUCCAAAAGUUAAACUAGUUGAUAUGUUAUUUUAGGCCAUAAUCAUGAUAAUAGUGCCUGCAGUUGUAUAUAACAUGUAGUUAUAAGUGUAGUACCAAGCCACGUCUACUUUAAACUUAUGUUAGAUGUAUAUGA